RNAcentral lists this ribosomal RNA (301 nucleotides) under uncultured bacterium. Its description in RNAcentral is "partial 16S ribosomal RNA". It matches the Rfam family "Bacterial small subunit ribosomal RNA", at positions 509 to 809 of the family's 1533-position model. The record is from RNAcentral.
CAGUCGCCGCGGUAAUACGGAGGGUGCAAGCGUUAAUCGGAAUUACUGGGCGUAAAGCGCACGCAGGCGGUCUGUCAAGUCAGAUGUGAAAUCCCCGGGCUUAACCUGGGAACUGCAUUUGAAACUGGCAGGCUAGAGUCUUGUAGAGGGGGGUAGAAUUCCAGGUGUAGCGGUGAAAUGCGUAGAGAUCUGGAGGAAUACCGGUGGCGAAGGCGGCCCCCUGGACAAAGACUGACGCUCAGGUGCGAAAGCGUGGGGAGCAAACAGGAUUAGAUACCCCGGUAGUCCCUGUCUCUUAUAU